Molecule: long non-coding RNA, 490 nt
Filed under: Mytilus galloprovincialis (Mediterranean mussel)
Lineage: Eukaryota; Metazoa; Mollusca; Bivalvia; Mytilida; Mytilidae
Source: RNAcentral
AUUUCUAUACACCUGGAAAAAAGUGUUGCAACACCAAAUUGAAAUUGAAAUUAAAAAAACAUUUUUUAUUUUUUUGAGAUAUAAUUUGGUAAAAUAGAACUACUUAAACAUUAUUUAAGUAUCACCUGAGUUUAAUCAAUAAAUAUCGACUCGGUAAGUUUUUAUUCGCACAUGCAGCUACUGUACCCGUAAACAGCAAAACAGAUGUUUUCAUCCUCAUUGUUUUCAACACUUUAAAUAACCAAGUUGUUAAAGUUAUGUGAUUGACACCUUGUAAUGGGUCCUCGACAACUCUAAACUGCAGCAAGAUGACAGAUUAUCAGCAUGAGAGAAGCAAGGAUGUCGCUGUAACAACUGCAAUCAUUGUUGGUCAUCACCAUUCCACUAUAAGUCGUUUUAAGAAUAAAAAAUGGCACUAAACGAUGUUAAAGAUCUUCCGAGAUAAAGAAGACCCCCUAUACCAUUUACUAGGGAAAAUCAAGCAUAAUAA